This is a long non-coding RNA of Felis catus (domestic cat), 627 nucleotides long. RefSeq lists it as uncharacterized. NCBI's taxonomy places the organism in Eukaryota, Metazoa, Chordata, Mammalia, Carnivora, Felidae. The transcript is spliced from 3 exons. The record is from RefSeq and is a predicted model, not a curated record.
GCAUGACCAAAUAUGAUGCAUGUUGUCUACAACACACAAAGAAGCCUGCAAGUGCUGCACUUCUUUCUUCGCGGUGGAAGAUGAAAGGCACAGCAAACAGGCUGUGAUUUCAAUGGCAUAAUGCUGAUAAGCACAGACCAUUGGACCCUAGAAACUUCAUCAAUGUGCUAGGCAUCUGAAAUUUAACAGGAUUUGUCCAGUGUCUUCUGACAUGGAUAUAUCUUAAGGAAUAGCCUUCUGCUCCUCAAUUCUUGCUCUGUUGGGUCUGGUGACAGGCCUGGAGACAGGGAGGUGUGCUGGGAAUGAGCCCUGGGAUAAUCAACUUCAGCUUCUGACGCAGCUGCCCCUCUGAUGCAACAAAACCGCUAACAGUGAGGUGCUAUGAUAAAGGGCAUGAGCUUUGGAGUCAGACUCUCCUGGAUCCAAAUCCAGCUGUAAUAUGGCUAGCUGUGUGAAUCAUGUAAAAAAAAAAAAUCCUCAAGCCUCAAUCUCUCCAUCUUUAAAAUGGGAACAAUAGUACCUGCCUCAGAGGGUGCUUGUGAAAAUAAAUUUGAUAAUGCACAGAAAACACUUCUUGCAAUGCUCCACACAUAAUACAUCUUUAAUAAAUGCUUGUUCUUCUUCUUA